ACUUACCACCCGACGGGAAGGGUAGUCGGCCCGUAGGGUAAACCGUNUGACUGGGGCU
Molecule: ribosomal RNA, 58 nt
Filed under: uncultured bacterium
Lineage: Bacteria
Description: partial 16S ribosomal RNA
Source: RNAcentral